UAAUACGUAGGGGGCAAGCGUUGUCCGGAUUUAUUGGGCGUAAAGAGCGUGUAGGCGGCUUUACAGGUCCGUUGUGAAAACUCGAGGCUCAACCUCGAGACGCCGGUGGAAACCGUAAGGCUAGAGUCCGGAAGAGGAGAGUGGAAUUCCUGGUGUAGCGGUGAAAUGCGCAGAUAUCAGGAAGAACACCCGUGGCGAAGGCGGCUCUCUGGGACGGUACUGACGCUGAGACGCGAAAGCGUGGGGAGCGAACAGGAUUAGAUACCCUGGUAGUCCACGCCGUAAACGAUGGGUGCUAGGUGUGGGCGGUGUCGACUCCGUCCGUGCCGAAGCUAACGCAUUAAGCACCCCGCCUGGGGAGUACGGCCGCAAGGCUA
Molecule: ribosomal RNA, 377 nt
Filed under: uncultured bacterium
Lineage: Bacteria
Description: bacterial SSU rRNA
Rfam family: Bacterial small subunit ribosomal RNA
Source: RNAcentral